Molecule: unclassified non-coding RNA, 221 nt
Filed under: fungal sp.
Lineage: Eukaryota; Fungi
Description: partial internal transcribed spacer region
Rfam family: Eukaryotic small subunit ribosomal RNA (bases 1-46)
Source: RNAcentral
AAGUCGUAACAAGGUUUCCGUAGGUGAACCUGCGGAAGGAUCAUUAUAGUAAGGGUCUUCGGGCCCGUUACGAGAUGCAACCCUUGUCUUUUUGUGCACCUUCUGUUUCCUCGGCAGCUUUGCCUGCCAGCGAGGACCCCAUGAAAACCUUUUGUAAUCCAGUAUAACGUUCAGAAAUCAAAACAAUAUUAAAACUUUCAACAAUGGAUCUCUUGGCUCUG